RNAcentral lists this ribosomal RNA (350 nucleotides) under uncultured Glomeromycotina. RNAcentral's name for it is "eukaryotic LSU rRNA". Lineage: Eukaryota; Fungi; Glomeromycota. The record is from RNAcentral.
AUCACUUUUGGAUGCGAGUUGGGGUAUUUCCGAAGGAAGUUUAAAAAGCCUUCCGUGUGCUCAUUGUAUUCGUGUUUUCUUUGGGUGCACUUUCUUCGUUUUUUGGUAGGUUAACAUCAAUUUUUGGACGUUACAAAAUGACUCGGGGGAAUGUAGCUUCGAUUUUUCGAAGUGUUAUAGCCCUUGGUAGAUGUGGCGACCGGGAUUGAGGAUUGCAACGAAUGCUUUCGGGCUAUCCUUCUGACCUCUGGUGGUUGCUUUGGGGUCGAAAGCGUGCUUACGACUUCUAAGUUGGCUAUCAAAAGGCUAGAAUGUGAUUAAAUUCGUCAAGGAUGUUGACGUAAUGGCUU